Molecule: ribosomal RNA, 519 nt
Filed under: uncultured Hanseniaspora
Lineage: Eukaryota; Fungi; Ascomycota; Saccharomycetes; Saccharomycodales; Saccharomycodaceae
Description: eukaryotic LSU rRNA
Rfam family: Eukaryotic large subunit ribosomal RNA
Source: RNAcentral
AACCAACUGGGAUUACCUUAGUAACGGCGAGUGAAGCGGUAAAAGCUCAAAUUUGAAAUCUGGUACUUUCAGUGCCCGAGUUGUAAUUUGUAGAAUUUGUCUUUGAUUAGGUCCUUGUCUAUGUUCCUUGGAACAGGACGUCAUAGAGGGUGAGAAUCCCGUUUGGCGAGGAUACCUUUUCUCUGUAAGACUUUUUCGAAGAGUCGAGUUGUUUGGGAAUGCAGCUCAAAGUGGGUGGUAAAUUCCAUCUAAAGCUAAAUAUUGGCGAGAGACCGAUAGGCGAACAAGUACAGUGAUGGAAAGAUGAAAAGAACUUUGAAAAGAGAGUGAAAAAGUACGUGAAAUUGUUGAAAGGGAAGGGCAUUUGAAUCAGACAUGGUGUUUUUGCAUUGCACUCGCCUCUCGUGGGCUUGGGCCUCUCAAAAAUUUCACUGGGCCAACAUCAAUUCUGGCAGCAGGAUAAAUCAUUAAGAACGUAGCUACCUCGGUAGUGUUAUAGCUUUUGGAAUACUGCUAGCU